GGGACGCGCAAAGGACCGCACUUUGAUUGCAGCCAUGAUGUGGGUGUCGCAAGGCACCUACCCUGCUGUAGGGAAAGUCCCCGGACAGGAGCGGCGAUGGAUCCCCACGGGGGCCUCUGUGGCGGCCGGCGCAGACUUGGGUGUGGUGGCGCUGGCGCCGUGUGUGCCUAUGCAUGGCUAGCGUGCUGUCCGUGCUGCGGCCUCGGAAAGCGAGUACGCUGUCAACGUGUGCGCGCCGCGGUGCGGGCAGGCGUGGUGCGGUGCAUCGGCGGCACCAUGUGCGCGCGGCGUGCGGCGUGAGCAUGCAUCGCAGAACGGCUCACGAGGCUGUGGGAUGCGGCGGUGGCGCGAAGAUAGGAGCGCGCCGUGGCUGCCCACGCGCCGGCUGAGCCGGGCGCGGUGUGUGCGCCUAGCCCAGGAGCCUCUGCGGCGGCCGUGGCAGGGCGUGCGCUUGUCGCGUCCUCGCCACGUUCGUCUUGGAUACAGGUAUGCGGUCGCCGUGCACCGGUAACACAAUGGGGCUUACUCUUGCGCGUCC
Molecule: long non-coding RNA, 538 nt
Filed under: Malassezia sympodialis ATCC 42132
Lineage: Eukaryota; Fungi; Basidiomycota; Malasseziomycetes; Malasseziales; Malasseziaceae
Source: RNAcentral